CCUACGGGGGGCAGCAGUAGGGAAUAUUGCUCAAUGGGGGAAACCCUGAAGCAGCAACGCCGCGUGGAGGAUGAAGGUUUUCGGAUUGUAAACUCCUUUUGUUAGAGAAGGUAAUGACGGUAUCUAACGAAUAAGCACCGGCUAACUCCGUGCCAGCAGCCGCGGUAAUACGGAGGGUGCAAGCGUUACUCGGAAUCACUGGGCGUAAAGGGCGCGUAGGCGGGAGAGCAAGUCAGAUGUGAAAUCCUAUGGCUUAACCAUAGAACUGCAUUUGAAACUGUUAUUCUAGAGUAUGGGAGAGGUAGGUGGAAUUCUUGGUGUAGGGGUAAAAUCCGUAGAGAUCAAGAGGAAUACUCAUUGCGAAGGCGACCUGCUAGAACAUAACUGACGCUGAUGCGCGAAAGCGUGGGGAGCAAACAGGAUUAGAUACCCGGGUAGUC
RNAcentral lists this ribosomal RNA (440 nucleotides) under uncultured bacterium. RNAcentral's name for it is "partial 16S ribosomal RNA". It matches the Rfam family "Bacterial small subunit ribosomal RNA", at positions 338 to 795 of the family's 1533-position model. The record is from RNAcentral.